This 253-nucleotide ribosomal RNA is filed under the name uncultured bacterium. Its description in RNAcentral is "partial 16S ribosomal RNA". It matches the Rfam family "Bacterial small subunit ribosomal RNA", at positions 524 to 776 of the family's 1533-position model. The record is from RNAcentral.
GACAGAGGGUGCAAACGUUGUUCGGAAUUACUGGGCGUAAAGCGUGUGUAGGCGGCCUUAUAAGUCGGAUGUGAAAGCCCAGGGCUCAACCCUGGAAGUGCACUCGAUACUGUAAGGCUCGAGUACUGGAGAGGUUGGUGGAAUUCUCGGUGUAGAGGUGAAAUUCGUAGAUAUCGAGAGGAACACCGGUGGCGAAGGCGGCCAACUGGACAGAUACUGACGCUGAGACACGAAAGCGUGGGGAGCAAACAGG